UGAUUUUAACUCCAUCCAUGAUUGUAGCACUUUCCAUAUACUAAUCAAAUACACGCAACCCUAAUCCACAUUCAAAUUUCAAACACUCGAUUAAUCAGGAAGCAAAUCAUCUUCAGUUGUUUCGGUUUUAAAUAUCGCAUGUCUUUAUGCAUCACAUUAAAUGCUUGAUUGGGAAUUCUGAUGAUUUUCUCACUCGCUUUCAAAACCCUAGGUUCUAUGGUCUUGGGUGUAGUGAAGAGUUGCAUCGGGAAGAAGUUCAUGACCAAGAUUGUGGAUCUUAUAAGCGUCAUUUUUUCCUUUUUGUCCUCUUUAUUGUUCUUAUAAGUUUGGUUAUCAUAAAUAUUUUAUCCAGUUUUACUAAAGUGCCAAAGUUGUUUCAGAUUCCUUGCAAAAGUUAUUAAAAUGUCAAAGAUCAAGUUCUCAGGUUCUAUACUAAAAUAGGAUGCUUCAUGCCGAAACCAGGUGCUGAUUUAAAUUGUGUUUGCCAAUUUGAUUUGAUUAGCACACAUCUAUCACUUAAAGGAAGGAAGUUCACCUACAAUGCAUGUGUUGCCUCGUCAUGGUUUUCCAUGCUUCAAGGUAUAUGGGUCUCUUGGAUAACCAGAUUGAAAGAAACAAUAAACAGGGGAAAAUUUACAAAAAACAUGGGAGCUUGGAAAACAUGUUUUCUCUAACUUUUUUCUUUGAGGUCAUCAUAUUUUAUGAACAUACAUAAAAUAUUAUUUUAUGUACUACCGUUCUUAUUUGUUGUUCACUAUAUAUACAAGAGUGUAUGCUUGUGCUGAUGCAAGUGUAUGUGUAUUUGUACGUUUAUGUUUGUAUGGCUGU
Lactuca sativa (garden lettuce) is the source of this 828-nucleotide non-coding RNA. Lineage: Eukaryota; Viridiplantae; Streptophyta; Magnoliopsida; Asterales; Asteraceae. The record is from RefSeq and is a predicted model, not a curated record.